This is a long non-coding RNA of Bombina bombina (fire-bellied toad), 738 nucleotides long. RefSeq lists it as uncharacterized. NCBI's taxonomy places the organism in Eukaryota, Metazoa, Chordata, Amphibia, Anura, Bombinatoridae. The transcript has 2 exons. The record is from RefSeq and is a predicted model, not a curated record.
GAACCCUUCAACGCCUGAGCACUGUCUUCUGGGCAACUGAGAGGUCCCAGCUUGCCUUUACUGCACCUGGAGGUGCGCUCUUUAUUGAAUCAGUCCAAUUUGCGCAGUGAAUGCUUGGAUUUCAUCACUUGCAGAAGAGGGUUGAGGCUUCUUAAAUUAUUCCCAAAGCAGAGAAUGCAAAUCUCCAUGUUAAAGGAACCAGUUGUUGAAGCUUCAGACAGAAACAAGCUAAAUCCUGAACCUUUGAUGUUGUUAAAAUUUCAGGAUGCAAUGUCCUUGGAUAGUCCUGAAGAAACAGACCAUAAUACUGUUAACUGCAGUACCACCCCCUAGCUGAGGAACUUUAAUGAAAAAAUCAAUUAUGUACAAAAAAUACAAACUUAAUAUGAAAAUGAGUUGCUGACUAUGAAAAAUAAUUAUACAGGAUUGUUGUAACAUUCCUGCUCAUUAUUGAUAAAGGUUGUAGUAAAUACAGAAGGUUUUCUUUCACAAAGCUCACACUGUGACUAAGACAUUUGAAAUAUACAGUACACUGGAUUUAUCAAGUGCAACUGGAGUUAAAAAAAAAAAACAUUUCAAAACUGCUUCAGUUGCGUUUGUGCAAUUUUGUUGCAAUUAAUAGACAGUUCAGCGGCAUAACCAUAUGUACUAAUUAUUUAUUUUCAAAUAAGCUACAUGGAAUUAGAGAAUUCUACAAAUAAAUUAAUAAAGGUCAAUUUUAUUUUAGAUCUGACAGAA